AUGCGAUCCAGAAUUCAAGUUGAACUUGUUGCACGGCACAAGACAUAUUUGGAAGAACAUAUACAAGUUCUGGAACAAGUCAUGGAAAAAAUCAAACACGCUAUAGAAAACAGUCAGAAUUGGAUAGAAGAUAAAAGUGGCAACCCGUCUAUCACCUACAGCGAACUUUGCCAGGAACUAGAGGCAGCUACAUUUAUUUUGUUGAAAUCAUCAUCUGCAAUCAUAAGUAAA
Long non-coding RNA from Physella acuta, 231 nucleotides. RefSeq lists it as uncharacterized. NCBI's taxonomy places the organism in Eukaryota, Metazoa, Mollusca, Gastropoda, Physidae. The record is from RefSeq and is a predicted model, not a curated record.